CCUACGUGGGGCAGCAGUGGGGAAUAUUGCGCAAUGGGCGAAAGCCUGACGCAGCGACGCCGCGUGAGGGAUGAAGGUCUUCGGAUCGUAAACCUCUGUCAGCAGGGAAGAACGGUCACUGUGCUAAUCAGCAGUGAAUUGACGGUACCUGCAAAGGAAGCACCGGCUAACUCCGUGCCAGCAGCCGCGGUAAUACGGAGGGUGCGAGCGUUAAUCGGAAUUACUGGGCGUAAAGCGCUCGUAGGCGGUAUGUCAAGUCAAGGGUGAAAUCCCCGCGCUCAACGUGGGAACUGCCUUUGAAACGGGCAAACUGGAGUGUGUGGGAGGAUAGUGGAAUUCCAGGUGUAGGAGUGAAAUCCGUAGAUAUCUGGAGGAACAUCAGUGGCGAAGGCGACUAUCUGGCACAUAACUGACGCUGAGGAGCGAAAGCGUGGGUAGCAAACAGGAUUAGAUACCCCAGUAGUC
This 465-nucleotide ribosomal RNA is filed under the name uncultured bacterium. Its description in RNAcentral is "partial 16S ribosomal RNA". It matches the Rfam family "Bacterial small subunit ribosomal RNA", at positions 338 to 795 of the family's 1533-position model. The record is from RNAcentral.